UUCAACUGGCACUAAAUCAAUGGGCUAUCGGCAGGGGAGAUCAGACAGACACACUCCACUGCGACGUACUGUAGUAUGCAUAAUAUGAGAGACUCAUCGCUCACAGCAACAGCCCCUGGGUGUCACUCACUGGGUUAAAGGUUUAUCAAAACCUGUCAAGCUUUAUUAUAUCAAGACACAAACACAACCCACCCAUUCAGUAUGUUCUACUCCCACAGGGGGCAACAACAAUAACAUGAUCAAUAAUACUGGUAAUCAAUAACCAGGUGUUAGUAUUGCUGUCCAUGACAGGCCAUUGAUACUAAAUAGGGACACAGCUCCUUACAGGAACACUGUGGAGAGGUCAGUGGGGAGGAGACAGCUCAUUACAGGAACACUGUGGAGAGGUCAGUGGGGAGGAGACAACUCAUUACAGGAACACCGUGGAGAGGUCAGUGGGGAGGAGACAGCUCAUUACAGGAACACCGUGGAGAGGUCAGAGGGAAGGAGACAGCUCAUUACAGGAACACUGUGGAGAGGUCAGAGGGAAGGAGACAGCUCAUUACAGGAACUCUCAGGAGAGGUCAGAGGGAAGUAGACAACUCAUUACAGGAACACCGUGGAGAGGUCAGAGGGAAGGAGACAACUCAUUACAGGAACACCGUGGAGAGGUCAGAGGGAAGGAGACAGCUCAUUACAGGAACACUGUGGAGAGGUCAGAGGGAAGGAGACAGCUCAUUACAGGAACACUGUGGAGAGGUCAGAGGGAAGGAGACAACAAGGUACAUAUAUUUUCCUCCCAGCAGACAAACAGCACGCUUUGGUGUGGACACCAUAUUCUCAAGCUGUGGGCAUGCAUGUCCAAAGACCCUGAGUUUUCCCUGACCACAUGGCC
This 874-nucleotide long non-coding RNA is filed under the name Salmo salar (Atlantic salmon). RNAcentral's name for it is "lncRNA (ENSSSAG00000088729.1)". The record is from RNAcentral. Lineage: Eukaryota; Metazoa; Chordata; Actinopteri; Salmoniformes; Salmonidae.